Coregonus clupeaformis (lake whitefish) is the source of this 384-nucleotide long non-coding RNA. RefSeq lists it as uncharacterized. NCBI's taxonomy places the organism in Eukaryota, Metazoa, Chordata, Actinopteri, Salmoniformes, Salmonidae. The transcript is spliced from 3 exons. The record is from RefSeq and is a predicted model, not a curated record.
CUUUAAACACCAUCAGCGUUGGACCCGCGAUUUAAAGAACUGCCCUACCUGGAAAAAGAGGACAGAGAACAGGUCUACACAAAACUGGUUUUUGAGGCAGAAGUGUCCCACCAGAUGCAAGCAAUUGGAAAUCAGGAGGAAGACGAGGGAAGCUCAAGCACAAAGCUGUCAGGAUUCAAUGAAGAGACCACAGCUCCAAAUGAGUCACCUCCUUGUAAGAAGAAAGCCUUAGAUGCGCUGUUUGGCGAUUCCUUCACCCAAAGAGAAAGAAAAUCCACAAGCGAGACAGCCAGAGCAGAGGUGUUAAAGUACCGAGCAAAAGAUGCGUUGCCUUUGACUGAAAAUGCCAUGAAGUGGUGGAGAUCUCAGGAGAAAGAGCUACCU